RNAcentral lists this ribosomal RNA (361 nucleotides) under Escherichia coli. RNAcentral describes it as "bacterial LSU rRNA". It matches the Rfam family "Bacterial large subunit ribosomal RNA", at positions 1 to 389 of the family's 2925-position model. The record is from RNAcentral. Lineage: Bacteria; Pseudomonadati; Pseudomonadota; Gammaproteobacteria; Enterobacterales; Enterobacteriaceae.
GGGUUGUGAGGUUAAGCGACUAAGCGUACACGGUGGAUGCCCUGGCAGUCAGAGGCGAUGAAGGACGUGCUAAUCUGCGAUAAGCGUCGGUAAGGUGAUAUGAACCGUUAUAACCGGCGAUUUCCGAAUGGGGAAACCCAGUGUGAUUCGUCACACUAUCAUUAACUGAAUCCAUAGGUUAAUGAGGCGAACCGGGGGAACUGAAACAUCUAAGUACCCCGAGGAAAAGAAAUCAACCGAGAUUCCCCCAGUAGCGGCGAGCGAACGGGGAGGAGCCCAGAGCCUGAAUCAGUGUGUGUGUUAGUGGAAGCGUCUGGAAAGGCGCGCGAUACAGGGUGACAGCCCCGUACACAAAAAUGCA